RNAcentral lists this ribosomal RNA (1358 nucleotides) under Streptococcus thermophilus. RNAcentral's name for it is "bacterial SSU rRNA". It matches the Rfam family "Bacterial small subunit ribosomal RNA", at positions 65 to 1410 of the family's 1533-position model. Lineage: Bacteria; Bacillati; Bacillota; Bacilli; Lactobacillales; Streptococcaceae. The record is from RNAcentral.
CGCUGAGAGAGGAGCUUGCUCUUCUUGGAUGAGUUGCGAACGGGUGAGUAACGCGUAGGUAACCUGCCUUGUAGCGGGGGAUAACUAUUGGAAACGAUAGCUAAUACCGCAUAACAAUGGAUGACACAUGUCAUUUAUUUGAAAGGGGCAAUUGUUCCACUACAAGAUGGACCUGCGUUGUAUUAGCUAGUAGGUGAGGUAAUGGCUCACCUAGGCGACGAUACAUAGCCGACCUGAGAGGGUGAUCGGCCACACUGGGACUGAGACACGGCCCAGACUCCUACGGGAGGCAGCAGUAGGGAAUCUUCGGCAAUGGGGGCAACCCUGACCGAGCAACGCCGCGUGAGUGAAGAAGGUUUUCGGAUCGUAAAGCUCUGUUGUAAGUCAAGAACGGGUGUGAGAGUGGAAAGUUCACACUGUGACGGUAGCUUACCAGAAAGGGACGGCUAACUACGUGCCAGCAGCCGCGGUAAUACGUAGGUCCCGAGCGUUGUCCGGAUUUAUUGGGCGUAAAGCGAGCGCAGGCGGUUUGAUAAGUCUGAAGUUAAAGGCUGUGGCUCAACCAUAGUUCGCUUUGGAAACUGUCAAACUUGAGUGCAGAAGGGGAGAGUGGAAUUCCAUGUGUAGCGGUGAAAUGCGUAGAUAUAUGGAGGAACACCGGUGGCGAAAGCGGCUCUCUGGUCUGUAACUGACGCUGAGGCUCGAAAGCGUGGGGAGCGAACAGGAUUAGAUACCCUGGUAGUCCACGCCGUAAACGAUGAGUGCUAGGUGUUGGAUCCUUUCCGGGAUUCAGUGCCGCAGCUAACGCAUUAAGCACUCCGCCUGGGGAGUACGACCGCAAGGUUGAAACUCAAAGGAAUUGACGGGGGCCCGCACAAGCGGUGGAGCAUGUGGUUUAAUUCGAAGCAACGCGAAGAACCUUACCAGGUCUUGACAUCCCGAUGCUAUUUCUAGAGAUAGAAAGUUACUUCGGUACAUCGGUGACAGGUGGUGCAUGGUUGUCGUCAGCUCGUGUCGUGAGAUGUUGGGUUAAGUCCCGCAACGAGCGCAACCCCUAUUGUUAGUUGCCAUCAUUCAGUUGGGCACUCUAGCGAGACUGCCGGUAAUAAACCGGAGGAAGGUGGGGAUGACGUCAAAUCAUCAUGCCCCUUAUGACCUGGGCUACACACGUGCUACAAUGGUUGGUACAACGAGUUGCGAGUCGGUGACGGCGAGCUAAUCUCUUAAAGCCAAUCUCAGUUCGGAUUGUAGGCUGCAACUCGCCUACAUGAAGUCGGAAUCGCUAGUAAUCGCGGAUCAGCACGCCGCGGUGAAUACGUUCCCGGGCCUUGUACACACCGCCCGUCACACCACGAGAG